This 254-nucleotide ribosomal RNA is filed under the name uncultured bacterium. Its description in RNAcentral is "partial 16S ribosomal RNA". It matches the Rfam family "Bacterial small subunit ribosomal RNA", at positions 524 to 776 of the family's 1533-position model. The record is from RNAcentral.
UACGUAGGGGGCGAGCGUUGUCCGGAUUUAUUGGGCGUAAAGAGCUCGUAGGCGGUUUGGUAAGUUGGAUGUGAAAUCUCCAGGCUCAACUUGGAGGGGUCAUUCGAUACUGCCAUGACUAGAGUUCGGUAGGGGAGUGUGGAAUUCCUGGUGGAGCGGUGAAAUGCGCAGAUAUCAGGAGGAACACCGGUGGCGAAGGCGGAUCUCUGGGCCAUUACUGACGCUGAGGAGCGAAAGCGUGGGGAGCGAACAGG